GUAGGUGGGCAAGCGUUGUCCGGAAUUAUUGGGCGUAAAGCGCGCGCAGGCGGUCCUUUAAGUCUGAUGUGAAAGCCCACGGCUCAACCGUGGAGGGUCAUUGGAAACUGGGGGACUUGAGUACAGAAGAGGAAAGCGGAAUUCCAAGUAUAACAAUGAAAUACAUAAAAGAUUUAAAAGAACACCAGUGGCGAAGGCGGCUUUCUGGACUGUAACUGACGCUGAGGCGCGAAAGCGUGGGGAGCAAACAGGAUUAGAUACCCUGGUAGUCCACGCCGUAAACGAUGAGUGCUAAGUGUUAGGGGGUUUCCGCCCCUUAGUGCUGCAGCUAACGCAUUAAGCACUCCGCCUGGGGAGUACGGCCGCAAAGGCUG
RNAcentral lists this ribosomal RNA (374 nucleotides) under uncultured organism. RNAcentral's name for it is "partial 16S ribosomal RNA". It matches the Rfam family "Bacterial small subunit ribosomal RNA", at positions 526 to 896 of the family's 1533-position model. The record is from RNAcentral.